ACCUCCCACCCGUGUUUAUCGUACCUUGUUGCUUCGGCGGGCCCGCCGCAAGGCCGCCGGGGGGCAUCUGCCCUCUGGCCCGCGCCCGCCGAAGACACCAUUGAACGCUGUCUGAAGAUUGCAGUCUGAGCAAUUAGUUAAAUAACUUAAAACUUUCAACAACGGAUCUCUUGGUUCCGGCAUCGAUGAAGAACGCAGCGAAAUGCGAUACGUAAUGUGAAUUGCAGAAUUCAGUGAAUCAUCGAGUCUUUGAACGCACAUUGCGCCCCCUGGUAUUCCGGGGGGCAUGCCUGUCCGAGCGUCAUUGCUGCCCUCAAGCACGGCUUGUGUGUUGGGCUCCGUCCUCCUCCCGGGGGACGGGCCCGAAAGGCAGCGGCGGCACCGCGUCCGGUCCUCGAGCGUAUGGGGCUUCGUCACCCGCUCUGUAGGCCCGGCCGGCGCUUGCCGACACAUCAAUCUUUUUUCCAGGUUGACCUCGGAUCAGGUAGGGAUACCCGCUGAACUUAAGCAUAUCAAUAA
Molecule: ribosomal RNA, 519 nt
Filed under: Penicillium citreonigrum
Lineage: Eukaryota; Fungi; Ascomycota; Eurotiomycetes; Eurotiales; Aspergillaceae
Description: eukaryotic LSU rRNA
Rfam family: 5.8S ribosomal RNA (bases 151-304)
Source: RNAcentral